Molecule: long non-coding RNA, 1226 nt
Organism: Tupaia belangeri chinensis (Chinese tree shrew)
Lineage: Eukaryota; Metazoa; Chordata; Mammalia; Scandentia; Tupaiidae
Exons: 3
Source: RefSeq, a predicted model, not a curated record
UCAUAAUUGCACGUUUAUUCUUUACGGCUGCACCAUAAGGUAAGUUCCCCAUUUUGAAGAUGGGGAAACUGAGCCCUGGAGAGUAAGUAACUUGCUUGCAGUGACACAGCUGUUAAAUGGCUAAGUUAGGGCUGAACCCCGGACUUCUGAUUCCAAUCCCAUGGUCUCUGUUGAUGAUAAAAUGCCACCUCUCUUGAAGCACUUGAAAUAUAACAAUUUACAGACAAAUGGACUUGUACAGAGAAACGAAGCACAUUUGUGUGUUAUAAACCUGAUUAAGAACAGAAUUAGUAGUGAAGUCUAGUUAAGAGUUAUUCGAACCUGGUCCAUAUGAUGGUGAUGGUUCCAAAGCAAACUGCCCGUUAGUGAGGUUUGGUCUAAUGCUCCUCUACCUAGAAGCCCUGGGAAAACCAGUUGCAGAACAUCUUUUAAAAGUCUGGCUUUCUGUGUUGUGAAAAGAAUUAGCCAUCUUCAGAACUGCACGGUGAGUCGAAGGUCCCUGCAUGAGACUAACAAAAUAUAGGAAUCCUUUCAGAUAGGCCAGUCUGGCUGUCCUCACUGUGGCUGCGUGAGCCGGGCAGUGAGUCAUUGACCACUUAGCUGGCCGUGGCUUUCAUAGUCUAAGGUUAUAAAUCUCUAAGAGAAUCUCUAGAUCUUUUUCCUUGAAAAAAAAUGAACGAACUUAAACUUUCUUCCAGACCGGUGGAAGCUUAUUGACAAUGCCCCUUAGGGCCCAACCUCCCCUUACAAUAUGAACUGUAGACUUCCCUCUCGUAUCUUCUCUCUGCUGUUACUCGUAGUAUCUUCCUCAGUACUGUCACAAACAGCGUUAACCUUGCUAAUCAUCCAUUUCUUAUCGGUGCAGGAAUAGUGAUAUUCACAGGAUGGUGGUGAAGACAGCCCACACAAAGCGCUGACCCUCUGCCAGUCACGUGAGCAUUCACUGUCCUCAGCUCCGAUGAUCCGAGUCGGCUCAUCGGUUCCUUCACUUUAUGAUGUCACAACCUGAGGUUCAUUUCCAGUUCGUGAGGACCCACUGAGCACUGCGGUAGGGUUGGUGGGGGAUCGCGAAGCCUGAUGAAACCGCGGAGGAAGAAUCAAUGACUUGGAGAAGUGGAGGCUGUCUUAGGCACACGGCCAAGCCCUUACAGACCAGCUUUUGUACUGGGAUAAGCGUUCCAAAGAAUACCCAGCCCCCCAGCAAAGAAGUCAAGAAGAUGAGCACU